RNAcentral lists this long non-coding RNA (222 nucleotides) under Erythranthe guttata (spotted monkey flower). RNAcentral describes it as "long non-coding RNA (EGUT_LNC001287)". Lineage: Eukaryota; Viridiplantae; Streptophyta; Magnoliopsida; Lamiales; Phrymaceae. The record is from RNAcentral.
GCACAACACCUCGGCGAUUUGAUCUCGAGUGACCGCAAGUUGCAAUUGAUCCCAAUUGAAUGGCGUCGUGUGUCGGAGGUGAUAAAAAGAGUUGAUUGCGUAGGCACACCAAUCGACCUUCUUGCCUCGCACCGUGCUCGAGUUCCGAUCCGUUGUGAGGAGGAUAUGGUUGUUGGCGUAGAACUCGCGGACCAAUGAUAGGUUGAUCGAACUCUCCGGUUC